RNAcentral lists this long non-coding RNA (535 nucleotides) under Volvox carteri. RNAcentral's name for it is "long non-coding RNA (VCAR_LNC000675)". The record is from RNAcentral. Lineage: Eukaryota; Viridiplantae; Chlorophyta; Chlorophyceae; Chlamydomonadales; Volvocaceae.
GCCAUCCGCAUCCCAUCCCAGGAGUUCACCGGCGGUCUGGUGGUUGGCGGUGGCAACUCGCCGAAGAGCCCCACCGCUGCCUCCAUGGAGAGUUACACCCUGGAGGGCACCAAGAAGCAGGGCAUUUCCCUGAAGACGAAGAAGAAGCUGCUGGUAAGCGUCAAGGUCAUGCCUUGGGAUUACUUCCAUGCCUCUUGAGCUGGUGCACUGGUGCGCAAAGCAGUGCAAGGAAUGAGGGGAUAUUCUAAUGAUUUUCGUGAAUGGGAACGACUGGGCGUCCCCUCGAAGUCAGCGAUGUGGAAGCACGCUCACAAUGACCAAAUUUAUUGUCGCUUCGGAUUAGUUAUGAAACGGUAACGUGGAAGCGCUGUUCCAACCUGAAACGUUGCUUGUGUCUGCAUUCCUACCUGCAGGCUAAGGUGCGGGAGCAGGCGCAGAAGGUUGCCAGCUCGUAAGCGUUCUCUCCUGGACGAACGACAUCCGUUGGGCAUACCAUGUGAUGAUGUUGGGCCAUUUUCUAGGAAGCAGCAAGGCC